RNAcentral lists this ribosomal RNA (326 nucleotides) under Candidatus Omnitrophota bacterium. Its description in RNAcentral is "bacterial SSU rRNA". It matches the Rfam family "Bacterial small subunit ribosomal RNA", at positions 1 to 293 of the family's 1533-position model. Lineage: Bacteria; Pseudomonadati; Candidatus Omnitrophota. The record is from RNAcentral.
AUUUUGGAGAGUUUGAUCCUGGCUCAGAGUGAACGCUGGCGGCGUGGAUUAGGCAUGCAAGUCGUGCGAUGAUAUAUUAAGUAAGACCGCAAGGUCAAAUGAGAUAUAUCACAGCGGCAAACGGGUGAGUAACACGUGAGUAAUUUUCCCUUGAGACGGGCAUAGCAUCGUGAAAACGGUGGUAAUACCCGAUGGUCAAAUGGAAGUGCAUACUUCUAUUUGUAAAGGUGGGGACCGCAAGGCCUGCCACUUAAGGAUGAGCUCGCGUCCUAUCAGCUAGUUGGUGAGGUAAUGGCUCACCAAGGCUUAUGACGGGUAGCCGACCU